This 997-nucleotide long non-coding RNA is filed under the name Pan troglodytes (chimpanzee). RNAcentral describes it as "lincRNA". Lineage: Eukaryota; Metazoa; Chordata; Mammalia; Primates; Hominidae. The record is from RNAcentral.
GAACCUGCCCAAAGGCCAGAUGUCAUCAGCAGCUGAACAGCAUCUCCAGAAACCAGCUGCAAAGACGGAAGCAGAACAACUGGUUUGGUGGAGAGAUCUGAUAACAAAAAGUUGGGAAACAGGUAAAAUAAUAACUUGGGGUAGAAGUUAUGCUUGUGUUUCUCCAGGCCAAAAUCAACAGCUGGUUUGGAUACCAUCAAGACACCUGAAAUCUUAUCAUGAGUCAGAUGCUGAGGAAGAGACUCCGGGAGGAUCCCGAGGACGCCCCAGUUGCAGCCAUGUUGAGACUGACACUGAGGAGGACCCCAACUGUCACGAGCAACACCUGUCGAACACAGCCACCCACCUGGGGACAGAUCAAGAAGCUGUCACAGAUGGCAGAAGAAAACCUGAGGAAAGCGGGACAACCAGUCACAAUGAGUAAUUUCAUGGUAGCUAUGAUAGCAGUUAUCACCAGUGCUUCUGCAGAUGUGGAUCCUAACUCCUGCGAGAAGUAACUCACAGUGACAAAGCUACCUUUGCUUUUAUUGAGUUGCAAAUCAAAGAAGGGGGGACAUGUUGGGAACAGGCCCCCCAAGAUCUGGCCAUAAACUGGCCCCAAAACUGGCUAUAAACGAAAUCUCUGCAGCACUGUGACACGUUCAUGAUGGCCGUGACACCCACGCUGGAAGGUUGUGGGUUUACCGGAAUGAGGGCAAGGGACACCUGGCCCACCCAGGGCGGAAAACCGCUUAAAGGCGCUCUUAAACCACAAACAAUAGCCUGAGUGAUCUGUGCCUUAAAGACACACUCCUGCUGCAGGUAACUAACCAGACCCACCCCUUUACUUCGGCCCAUCCCUUCAUUUCCCAUAACGGAUAGUUUUAGUUAAUCUAUUAUCUAUAGAAACAAUGCUAAUGACUGACGUACUAUUAAUAAAUCUGUGGGUAAACCUCUGUUCCGGGCUCUCAGCUCUGAAGGCUGUCAGACCCCUGAUUUCCCACUUCACACCUCUGUA